GACGUAGGUGGCGAACGUUAUCCGGAAUCAUUGGGCGUAAAGGGUGCGUAGAUGGCAUGAUAAGUUAUUAGUGGGAAAUCGAGGCUCAACCUCGUGGAAGCUAGUAAUACUGUUUUGCUUGAGUACAGAAGAGGUUAAUGGAAUUCCAUGUGGAGCGGUAAAAUGUGUAGAUAUAUGGAAGAACAUCAAUAACGGCGAAGGCAGUUAACUAAACCGUAACUGACGCUGAGGCACGAAAGCGUGGGGAUCAAACAGG
Molecule: ribosomal RNA, 256 nt
Filed under: uncultured bacterium
Lineage: Bacteria
Description: partial 16S ribosomal RNA
Rfam family: Bacterial small subunit ribosomal RNA
Source: RNAcentral